UGUUAUAUUUUAUUUACAUUCUGUAGCAGAUGCUUUCGGGGAUGGAUGCAUCGGACUCUUGAGGCCAACACACCCUGUGAAUACUGUUUAAAAAAAGCAUGUAUGGCUUUCUUUCCACUUUGUUGUGUUGUCAGUUUGGYAGGACAACAGCACUGUGCAUGAGAAGUGGAAAGAGCAAAUAGACGUGUUCUUUAGCUGCCUACAGCCGGGAUCUGAUCAUGUCCCGUUCCUUGUGAUGGUAGCACUCGUGAGCCUGGAAUCAUUCAUGAUUCAACAAAAUUAGGUCCAUUGUAGCUGUGGCAACCCAGACCUUAGAAAGCAGCUUAUGACCUAAAGCUGAGGCUGCUUCUCUUUGAGUAUUGCUGGGGUUUUUUUCUUCCUCACUAAGCUAUGUUUAAUUGGCCAAGGGGAAAAAAAACAAAACAACUGUUCUUUGAUUAUGACAAUGUUUUGAUGUUUUGUAUUUUACCCAAACACAAUCUCAGUAACAGAAAAAACAGAAAUUGGAAACUCAGAUAAUGACAUUGAUAACAAGUUUUGUCAUUAAAGCACUGAAUGUUUUUUGCUGUUUCGCUACCAAAUCUGACCUUGAAUUUUGAUCUUCUURUAGGCCUGUCUUUUCAGAGACCUUGCUUUGACCAGAAGGAUUAUACGAAUAGGAUGAGGAGGGUACAACUGGGAGUCCUCAGYAGGACAUGCAAUGGUCUUGAAAGCUGGAGUGUUCUAAAUUCCCAUUCCAAAGGAAAACCUACUUCUGCUGUGCCCUGCAUUCAGCURUAAGUCUUGCCUGAAAUGCCGUAAAGCAGAUAUUACUGUGGAAUAAGCCACGCUGGUGAGAGACAUGUAGUUCCCAUUCACUUCCUUAAGCAUCARGUGGUUUUGACCGGGAUGACUGGAAAAGCCCAUCUUUCCCUCGUCCUGCAAUAUCAGAUAGGAUUCAUUCCUUCUUAGGCCUUAAUGUCCCACAGCUGGCAACAGAGCUUCCUCCCUGGUGGCUCCUCACCUCUGCGAUACGCUCGCUUUGGCUUUACCUCUGAGACUUACCAGUGAUGAAGGACCAGUUUAUUUUGUGUGGUGUGUGGACUGAUAUUUUAUCUGAGAUUGCUUUAUGUGCAUAACAUGUGCUUUAGUGUUUUUGCAACUGAGGUGUUGUCCAAAUUAACAAAUGAUAUUAAUGAAUUCCUUCCUGUGUUUAAACAGACUCAGAUUCAGUAUUUUACUCAAAUUAGCAAAUUAUUAAGUCGGAUAAGAAUAAUACUGGGUUACAAAAUGUUCUURCUUCACUGAUUUUGACAAUUGCAGUUUUAGUUUUAAUUAUUUAUAACAUCAUUGUACUAAUUUAAUAUAGCAUAUUUCUGUUCAGUAAUGAAAUUAGUGGUAUGAGACUGCAGCACUUGCUGUUAACACUUUGCUGAGUAAUAUGUACAUUAAUUGUAUUAGAGCAGCUUUAAAAUACAUAUGGACUCAAGGGUGAAGGUGUUUUAAACUUGCUUGUUCUUCAUGUAGGUAAAAAUAGUGUCAUGUAAGACUUGGUCUUAAGUAAGAAAAUCAGUGCGACUACUCAUGGGAGGAAAGUUCUAGUACUGUGAAAUCCUUUAAGUCUCUGUAGGGUCAGGCCUUAACCAGCAGACAUUAAAGAGCAUAUUUUGWAGUUUUAAGGGCAAUUUUCUUUUCUAAGGGUGUCUUAGUCUCAWUUCAUUCUAGUUAAAAGAUAAUUUAACAAGAUUGCCUUCUCUAUCCCAUAUGAAUUGCUGCAAGUUUGCUUUAAGAUCUGCUACUGUUAAUGAUAAUCAUUGGUCUAAAGGUCCCAGAAACGCUGGCACUGUGGGCCUGAAACAUGACUUUGACAAAACAAAAUGCUGUAGGAUUCACAAGGCAAACGUCCRUUACAAAUAAAGAAAAUAUUUUU
This is a long non-coding RNA of Dromaius novaehollandiae (emu), 1909 nucleotides long. The record is from Ensembl. NCBI's taxonomy places the organism in Eukaryota, Metazoa, Chordata, Aves, Casuariiformes, Dromaiidae.